AACGCACCUUGCGCUCUCUAGUUAUUCUGGAGAGCAUGCUUGUUUGAGUGUCGCGAACCUCUCAACCCCGCCAAAGGCUUUAUUAACUUUGGUUGUUUGGGCUUGGAUCAUGGUCUCUUGUUGUGACUUUUGUUAGAAACAACUGGACUGAAAUACAACAAGUUGGAUAAACCCUAUUGCGGCUUGACCUGAUGUUGUAAUUUACUCAUCGGGGACGCGAAAGGUUGUUUAAGGAACUUUAACAGAAACCCUUAUGUUGUUUAAAGUCUUUCGGGACUCUAUUCAAUACAUUUAUGACCUCAAAUCAAGUAGGACUACCCGCUGAACUUAA
RNAcentral lists this unclassified non-coding RNA (331 nucleotides) under uncultured fungus. RNAcentral describes it as "partial contains 5.8S ribosomal RNA, internal transcribed spacer 2, and large subunit ribosomal RNA". Lineage: Eukaryota; Fungi. The record is from RNAcentral.